AGCGAUGGCGGGGCGAAGCCUGUCCGCAAUGCCGCGUGAGUGAUGAAGGCCUUAGGGUUGUAAAGCUCUUUUACCCGGGAUGAUAAUGACAGUACCGGGAGAAUAAGCUCCGGCUAACUCCGUGCCAGCAGCCGCGGUAAUACGGAGGGAGCUAGCGUUGUUCGGAAUUACUGGGCGUAAAGCGCACGUAGGCGGCUUUGUAAGUUAGAGGUGAAAGCCUGGAGCUCAACUCCAGAAUUGCCUUUAAGACUGCAUCGCUUGAAUCCAGGAGAGGUGAGUGGAAUUCCGAGUGUAGAGGUGAAAUUCGUAGAUAUUCGGAAGGGGGGGGGGGGGCGAAGGCGGCUCACUGGACUGGUAUUGACGCUGAGGUGCGAAA
Molecule: ribosomal RNA, 376 nt
Filed under: uncultured bacterium
Lineage: Bacteria
Description: partial 16S ribosomal RNA
Rfam family: Bacterial small subunit ribosomal RNA
Source: RNAcentral